This 658-nucleotide ribosomal RNA is filed under the name uncultured bacterium. RNAcentral's name for it is "bacterial SSU rRNA". It matches the Rfam family "Bacterial small subunit ribosomal RNA", at positions 182 to 859 of the family's 1533-position model. The record is from RNAcentral.
UGUACUGGGAUGUACGAGGAGAAAGGAUUUAUUCGCUGAGGGAUGGGCCUGCGGCCUAUCAGGUAGUUGGUGGGGUAAAGGCCUACCAAGCCUGCGACGGGUAGCCGGACUGAGAGGUCGACCGGCCGCACUGGAACUGAGACACGGUCCAGACUCCUACGGGAGGCAGCAGUGGGGAAUAUUGCACAAUGGGGGAAACCCUGAUGCAGCGACGCCGCGUGGAGGAUGACGGCCUUCGGGUUGUAAACUCCUUUUGUCAGGGACAAUGGUGAUGGUACCUGACGAAUAAGCCACGGCUAACUCUGUGCCAGCAGCCGCGGUAAGACAGAGGUGGCGAGCGUUGUUCGGAAUUACUGGGCUUAAAGGGCGCGUAGGCGGUGGUGUAAGUCUGGGGUGGAAUGCUACAGCUCAACUGUAGAGCUGCCUUGGAAACUGCAUUACUUGAGUCGGUGAGGGGAAGGCGGAAUUCCUGGUGUAGCGGUGAAAUGCGUAGAUAUCAGGAGGAAGGUCUGUGGCGAAGGCGGCCUUCUGGCACUUGACUGACGCUGAGGCGCGAAAGCGUGGGGAGCAAACAGGAUUAGAUACCCUGGUAGUCCACGCCCUAAACGGUGGGUAUUAGGUGUGGGGCCUUUAUGGGUUCCGUGCCGUAGCGAAAGCA